UGGCGAAAGGGGCAGUAAUGUUUGGGUACCUACCUUGGGGUCUGGGAUAGCCUUCCUAACGGAAGGGUAAAACCGGGCGAUUUGGGAAACCAAGAAAGGCAACGCCUCAGAGGGGCCCAAAUGGGAUUAGCUAGUUGGUAAGGUAACGGCUUACCAAGGCGAUGAUCCCUAGCGGGUGUGAGAGCACGACCCGCGCCAUUGGCACUGAGACACUGGCCAGACUCCUACGGGAGGCUGCAGUCGAGGAUCUUCGGCAAUGGGCGAAAGCCUGACCGAGCGACGCCGCGUGUGCGAUGAAGGCCUUCUGGUUGUAAAGCACUGUCGAAGGGGAGCAAGCCGAAAGGUUGAGAGUACCCUUGGAGGAAGCACGGGCUAAGUUCGUGCCAGCAGCCGCGGUAAGACGAACCGUGCGAACGUUAUUCGGAAUCACUGGGCUUAAAGGGUGCGUAGGCGGGUAUAUAAGUCGAGGGUGAAAGCCUCUAGCUCAACUAGAGAAGUGCCCUCGAAACUAUAUGUCUUGAGAGAGAUAGGGGCAUACGGAACUUCCGGUGGAGCGGUGAAAUGCGUAGAUAUCGGAGGAACGCCGGUGGCGAAAGCGGUAUGCUGGAUCUUUUCUGACGCUGAGGCACGAAAGCUAGGGUAGCGAACGGGAUUAGAUACCCCGGUAGUCCUAGCCCUAAACGAUGAGUACUAGAUUGUGGACUGACAUGGGUUCACAGUCGAAGCAAAGUGUUAAGUACUCCGCCUGGGGAGUAUGGUCGCAAGGCUGAAACUCAAGGAAUUGACGGGGGCUCACACAAGCGGUGGAGCAUGUGGCUUAAUUCG
RNAcentral lists this ribosomal RNA (825 nucleotides) under uncultured bacterium. Its description in RNAcentral is "bacterial SSU rRNA". It matches the Rfam family "Bacterial small subunit ribosomal RNA", at positions 96 to 953 of the family's 1533-position model. The record is from RNAcentral.